RNAcentral lists this long non-coding RNA (676 nucleotides) under Cricetulus griseus (Chinese hamster). RNAcentral describes it as "lncRNA (ENSCGRG00000025240.1)". Lineage: Eukaryota; Metazoa; Chordata; Mammalia; Rodentia; Cricetidae. The record is from RNAcentral.
CUUUUCUUGGUCACUGUUGUUGGAGGGGGAUCUUUAAGGACCAAGCUCUCACUCUGAAGUCAUUUGUGACAGGAGCUUGGUGGCAGGUUUGCACCAUUCUCCACUGGAAUGCUGAUGGAGUGGCAGAGAGGGUCUUUACUGAAGACAGUGCCUCAGCAGCUAGUGAGGAGAUGGACUGGUGUCCUCCACUUCUUUUGUGAUGUGGAAAAGGCCCUGGCUAUGCUUAUUUGCCCAGAGGCUGACCAGCCAGCAUCCCUGUGGUCAGAAAAGACAGGAGUCAGUUUUUUAUCCCUUGUACUUCCUGGGAUGAAACCUUGCCAAGGCAGAGAAGGAGGGAAAUAUCUUACUUUUGAGUGUAACUAGAAGACCAAAUGAGGAAAAAUGGAUGGAAGACAAAGGCAGUGCCCGGAACCCUUUCUCUGCAGUGACCUUGUCAAAGACCUCAGCCAUGAAGAGAAGUGAAGCUAAAAGGUAAGGUUAUACAAAUGGGAUGUUGACUUUGAGAAACUAUGGUUAGGGUUAGUUCAGGGUUAUUGUUAUACUUAUGGUUAGGGUUUAUACUCAUGGUUGGGGUUAGGGUUAGGAUUAGGUUCAGGGAUCAGGGUUCAGGUUUAGGGUAAGGAUUAGGGUUAUGUUUAGGUUUCACUGUUACACUUGAGGUUAGCUCUAGGAUGAG